GGGAUGGGCACGGCACCCUCAGGGACAGCCAUGGCCCCCUCAGGGAUGGGCACGGCCCCCUCAGGGACAGCCACGGCCCCCUCAGGGACAGCCACGGCCACGGCGAGUCGGGGAGCGCAAACAGAGCUCUGCGAUCCCACUGAGACACUGCAGCGUGCCCGGAGAAGGGCAGCGGAGCUGGGAAAGAAGAGUCUGGGGCAGACCAGUUCUAAGAGGAGCUGGGGGGCUCGACCUGGAGGAAAGGAGACUCAAUGAUUUAUGUAUCUGCCGGGAAGGAGGUUAUGGACAGGUACCAGGAACUGAUGUAUUCCCUUUAUGGUAGAACUGACAGUAAAAUGCAUCAGUGCAGAAACCUGAGCUAUGUCUUGAGUCAGCAUCAUAACCACCAGGCACCAGAGAGGAGAGAUAGUGGUGUCUCUGUCCUAGAAUUCCUACCCAGGUGUUGAAGUGGUGAUUGGAAGCUAGACUGCAUCCUGAAGAAGGGCUCUAACCACCUACCAACAGUCUCCUAAAGCACCAGGAUUUGAAAGGACCUCAGAAAAUGAUCUGGUUCUGCCUUCUCCCUUUAAACAGCCAAGCGAUGUGAAGCUGUUUCUCAUAGAUGUUAUUCUAGUCUCUUAUUAAAAGCAUUCACUUUUGGAGAGUCCA
Molecule: non-coding RNA, 648 nt
Organism: Cyanistes caeruleus (blue tit)
Lineage: Eukaryota; Metazoa; Chordata; Aves; Passeriformes; Paridae
Source: RefSeq, a predicted model, not a curated record